This 1151-nucleotide long non-coding RNA is filed under the name Callithrix jacchus (white-tufted-ear marmoset). RNAcentral's name for it is "lncRNA (ENSCJAG00000084807.1)". Lineage: Eukaryota; Metazoa; Chordata; Mammalia; Primates; Cebidae. The record is from RNAcentral.
CACCCUGGAUAGUGCCCACUGCCAUGGGGCAGGUCACUCCCAAGUCGUCCCCCAUGCCUACACGGCUGUGCGGGCCAAGAUAGUGAACCGAUCCCGCCAUCUUACCUUUCUAGCUGCGCUGUAGUCUUGGUCAGUGCCAACAAGCACAACACCCAGGCGAGCCAAGCAGAGCUGAUACGGCAGACUCUAGCCUCCAGCAUGGGCGGUGGCCGGCUACUCCCAUUUCUCCUUGAAGCCAGCUCUGAGCAGGUGAGCCCAUGUCUGAAAUGGCGAGACUCCCGCUUGGCAUCCUUUAUAUACGGGGUUCCUAGACUACAUGUUUGGAUUGGAUGAGAGCAAACUUCAAGGUCUACUCUAACUGGGCUUUAUUUCUAUAGUCUGAUUGGCUAACCUAAAACUUGUUGUCAUCCAACCCGAAGCUAUUCUAGCCAGGCUGAGCUGCGGCUCCCUUAAAAGGGUGUGGUGCUUCAGCCUUGAGGACAGUGUCUGUCAGCUUGCCUGCCCCUGCGGAACCCCGCCUGGCCGGCCGACAGACCAGAGAGAAGUCGCUGUAGGCGGCGGCUGCCCUGGCCCGGCACUCGAGAAGUCGGCGGCGGGGGCCCCGGCCAAGUCAGAGGGAAGUCAGCGGCGGCGACGCGGCCCCAUCCCUCCCGCCGGAGGGAAGUCGGUGUAGGCGGCGGCGGGGGCGCGGUUGGAGCUAGUUUCUUUGGAGAAGCCGUGGUGGCUUCAACGUGAUGGUGGAAGACGAGACAGGUCUCUGCGGCUUUUCUGACUUUGCCCCGCCCAGCUGCUCCAUGCCACGAGAAGGAAGAGCUAUCUGCUGCAUGCUGGAGGCUGGAGCCUGUGGCACCACGGCUCGCCUCGCUGCAGUGGGUGGCAGCGGCGGAGACUGCAGAGCGCCGGAGAGGUAGACGCGUGGCUGGCUGCCACCAGGGCAGGGACGGGUGCAGAGGUGGCCAGGUGGCAGCCUCUGAGGUGGCCUUGGUCCCUGGGUUCCCCCCACCGCCCCCGCUGUUUGUGGCAGGCAGAGCUGGGGUUGCCACUGCUUCUGAUGCGCCGUGUGUAUACAGUUGAGCCGUAGGGUGGCAGUGCUGGUUUCCGUUCUUCUGUUCCUUUUUGUCCCUGGUCCAGGGCACUGUUCACAGGCGCUG